RNAcentral lists this ribosomal RNA (600 nucleotides) under uncultured bacterium. RNAcentral describes it as "partial 16S ribosomal RNA". The stretch from base 1 to 328 matches the Rfam family "Bacterial small subunit ribosomal RNA", at positions 172 to 543 of the family's 1533-position model. The record is from RNAcentral.
CAUAACGUCGCAAGACCAAAGAGGGGGACCUUCGGGCCUCUUGCCAUCAGAUGUGCCCAGAUGGGAUUAGCUAGUAGUGGGGUAACGGCUCACCUAGGCGACGAUCCCUAGCUGGUCUGAGAGGAUGACCAGCACACUGGAACUGAGACACGGUCCAGACUCCUACGGGAGGCAGCAGUGGGGAAUAUUGCACAAUGGGCGCAAGCCUGAUGCAGCCAUGCCGCGUCGUCAUCGAAGAAGGCCUUCGGGUUGUCAAACGUACUUUCAGCGGGCGACGGAAGGCUGUCUGUCGGCUUUCAAUCACACCAAAGCAAAUUUGGAACCGUUGAACCCCACGGACANAGUANACGGAACAGACAANACACGGGGAACUNCAAAAAAUCCCACGGAAGCACACCAGACCAAAAACCCGAACGGAGAUCAAAAUCAACGGCGAAACGGCGNAUCACAAAAGANACACGCUCCAAAAAUGACGGCGCAAAAAUAGCACACCCACGGAGCGACAACNGCAUAACANAAGGCAGANACAAAAGACAAGAGAGAAGGGGAAAAAAAGNGAAAAAAGGAAAAGGNGAGAAAACGNGUUCGAGAAAACAAAUG